This 253-nucleotide ribosomal RNA is filed under the name uncultured bacterium. Its description in RNAcentral is "partial 16S ribosomal RNA". It matches the Rfam family "Bacterial small subunit ribosomal RNA", at positions 524 to 776 of the family's 1533-position model. The record is from RNAcentral.
UACGUAGGGCGCAAGCGUUGUCCGGAAUUAUUGGGCGUAAAGAGCUUGUAGGUGGCUUGUCGCGUCUGCCGUGAAAACCCGAGGCUCAACCUCGGGCGUGCGGUGGGUACGGGCAGGCUAGAGUGUUGUAGGGGAGACUGGAACUCCUGGUGUAGCGGUGAAAUGCGCAGAUAUCAGGAAGAACACCGAUGGCGAAGGCAGAUCUCUGGGCCAUUACUGACACUGAGAAGCGAAAGCAUGGGGAGCGAACAGG